This 1102-nucleotide ribosomal RNA is filed under the name Chryseobacterium daecheongense. RNAcentral's name for it is "bacterial SSU rRNA". It matches the Rfam family "Bacterial small subunit ribosomal RNA", at positions 53 to 1182 of the family's 1533-position model. Lineage: Bacteria; Pseudomonadati; Bacteroidota; Flavobacteriia; Flavobacteriales; Weeksellaceae. The record is from RNAcentral.
CCAUGCAGCCGAGCGGUAGAGUUCCUUCGGGGACUUGAGAGCGGCGUACGGGUGCGGAACACGUGUGCAACCUGCCUUUAUCUGGGGGAUAGCCUUUCGAAAGGAAGAUUAAUACCCCAUAAUAUAUCGAGUGGCAUCACUAGAUAUUGAAAACUCCGGUGGAUAAAGAUGGGCACGCGCAAGAUUAGAUAGUUGGUGGGGUAACGGCCUACCAAGUCGAUGAUCUUUAGGGGGCCUGAGAGGGUGAUCCCCCACACUGGUACUGAGACACGGACCAGACUCCUACGGGAGGCAGCAGUGAGGAAUAUUGGACAAUGGGUGAGAGCCUGAUCCAGCCAUCCCGCGUGAAGGACGACGGCCCUAUGGGUUGUAAACUUCUUUUGUACAGGGAUAAACCUUUCCACGUGUGGAAAGCUGAAGGUACUGUACGAAUAAGCACCGGCUAACUCCGUGCCAGCAGCCGCGGUAAUACGGAGGGUGCAAGCGUUAUCCGGAUUUAUUGGGUUUAAAGGGUCCGUAGGCGGAUCAGUAAGUCAGUGGUGAAAUCUCAUAGCUUAACUAUGAAACUGCCAUUGAUACUGCUGGUCUUGAGUAAGGUAGAAGUAGCUGGAAUAAGUAGUGUAGCGGUGAAAUGCAUAGAUAUUACUUAGAACACCAAUUGCGAAGGCAGGUUACUAUGUCUUAACUGACGCUGAUGGACGAAAGCGUGGGGGAGCGAACAGGAUUAGAUACCCUGGUAGUCCACGCUGUAAACGAUGCUAACUCGUUUUUGGGCUUUAGGGUUCAGAGACUAAGCGAAAGUGAUAAGUUAGCCACCUGGGGAGUACGAACGCAAGUUUGAAACUCAAGGAAUUGACGGGGGCCCGCACAAGCGGUGGAUUAUGUGGUUUAAUUCGAUGAUACGCGAGGAACCUUACCAAGGCUUAAUGGGAAUUGAUCGGGUUAGAAAUAGACCUUCCUUCGGGCAUUUUCAAGUGCUGCAUGGUGUCGUCAGCUCGUGCCGUGAGUGUUAGGUUAGUCUGCACGAGCGCACCCUGUCACUAGUGCAUCAUAGUGGGGACUCUACUGAGACUGCUACGCCAGUAAGAGAGGUGGGGGAUGA